AAUAACCAAAUAAACUACUAUAAAUUUCUUCCUAAGAUUCAGAAGUCUAAACUCUUUAACAAACAGUGUAGCAACACCAGGUUAGAGAAAAAGGUAAAACAUAAUGCUUCAAUUCCGCUCUUGCCUCCAUUAGUAUUUCCUUUUACAAGAAACAUAACCCACUUUAGAAUAUAACACAGUUAGCACAAAAAGUAAGUUCCAAACCAACCAAGUACUGUAAAAAAUAAAUAAGAAAGCUAUUGAGAUCAGUGAAUGAGCCAAGUUCACAGUUCAUUUACUUUCCAUGGGCAGUUUCUGAUGGACUGGAGAGCGACAUUUAACAAGAUACCUCAAACAAGAAAGUUACACAACCAACACUUUUCUCAAUAGUGUAAAAAAAAUUUACUUACCUUUUACAGUUGCUGAUGAGGAUCGAGGAGGCGAGGAUUGAGAACUGAGAAAGACUGAGGACUGAAGAAGACAGAGUAUUGAGGACAACCAAGUUGCUGACAGCGUUGAGAGCCGAUGGACUGGAGAGCGACGGCCGAAGAUUGCGUGGAGAGCGACGACCAACGAUUGUGUGGAGACUGGAGAGAGAGACUAGAGAGCUACAGUGAGGUGAGGAGGAGUCGGCGACUCAGCGUUGCAAGUGAAGAUCGAUGACCCGAGUUAGCCACGAUGGUUAAUCGGUCGAUGUCGAGAGGAGAUCAGGAGAGUGGAGGUUGGACGAUGGACAGUGGACCCGCUGGAAGUGGUGGAGCUCAGUGCUCAGAGAAGAGGCACAGGCAUGUGUGACGGGAGGGUGAGGGCGGCGUGAAAUUGAGAUUACAGAUUAGCGUCUCUACUCU
RNAcentral lists this long non-coding RNA (827 nucleotides) under Manihot esculenta (cassava). Its description in RNAcentral is "long non-coding RNA (MESC_LNC000437)". The record is from RNAcentral. Lineage: Eukaryota; Viridiplantae; Streptophyta; Magnoliopsida; Malpighiales; Euphorbiaceae.